Molecule: ribosomal RNA, 470 nt
Filed under: uncultured organism
Description: partial 16S ribosomal RNA
Rfam family: Bacterial small subunit ribosomal RNA
Source: RNAcentral
ACUCCUACGGGAGGCAGCAGUGGGGAAUUUUGGACAAUGGGCGAAAGCCUGAUCCAGCAAUGCCGCGUGAGUGAAGAAGGCCUUCGGGUUGUAAAGCUCUUUUGUCAGGGAAGAAACGGUGAGAGCUAAUAUCUUUUGCUAAUGACGGUACCUGAAGAAUAAGCACCGGCUAACUACGUGCCAGCAGCCGCGGUAAUACGUAGGGUGCAAGCGUUAAUCGGAAUUACUGGGCGUAAAGCGUGCGCAGGCGGUUUUGUAAGUCUGAUGUGAAAUCCCCGGGCUCAACCUGGGAAUUGCAUUGGAGACUGCAAGGCUAGAAUCUGGCAGAGGGGGGUAGAAUUCCACGUGUAGCAGUGAAAUGCGUAGAUAUGUGGAGGAACACCGAUGGCGAAGGCAGCCCCCUGGGUCAAGAUUGACGCUCAUGCACGAAAGCGUGGGGAGCAAACAGGAUUAGAAACCCUAGUAGUCCC